UUUCAAUUGCAUCUAUAAAGGCCUCAAC
RNAcentral lists this small RNA (28 nucleotides) under Bombyx mori (domestic silkworm). RNAcentral describes it as "piRNA piR-bmo-1414104". Lineage: Eukaryota; Metazoa; Arthropoda; Insecta; Lepidoptera; Bombycidae. The record is from RNAcentral.